UAGUAAGAUGAAAAUCCGUUGACUUUUAAAAUCGUGAGGGUUCAAGUCCCUCUUUCCCC
This 59-nucleotide transfer RNA is filed under the name Eutrema deltoideum. RNAcentral describes it as "partial tRNA-Leu". Lineage: Eukaryota; Viridiplantae; Streptophyta; Magnoliopsida; Brassicales; Brassicaceae. The record is from RNAcentral.